GCAAUGAGGAAACUUAAAGGAAUUGACGGGACUCCGCACAAGCGGUGGAUCAUGUUGUUUAAUUCGAAGGUACCCGAAAAACCUCACCAGGUCUUGACAUGCUUCUGCAAAGCUGUAGAAACACAGUGGAGGUUAUCAGUUGCACAGGUGGUGCAUGGUUGUCGUCAGCUCGUGUCGUGAGAUGUUGGGUUAAGUCCCGCAACGAGCGCAACCCUUAUUGUUAGUUACCAGCACGUAAUGGUGGGGACUUUAGCAAGACUGCCAGUGAUGAAUUGGAGGAAGGUGGGGACGACGUCAAAUCAUCAUGCCCCUUAUGACCUGGGCUACAAACGUGACCUUACAAUGGCUGUUACAAAGAGUAGCUGAAA
Molecule: ribosomal RNA, 368 nt
Filed under: Leafhopper (Deltocephalinae) aster yellows phytoplasma
Lineage: Bacteria; Bacillati; Mycoplasmatota; Mollicutes; Acholeplasmatales; Acholeplasmataceae
Description: bacterial SSU rRNA
Rfam family: Bacterial small subunit ribosomal RNA
Source: RNAcentral